This 434-nucleotide ribosomal RNA is filed under the name uncultured archaeon. Its description in RNAcentral is "bacterial SSU rRNA". It matches the Rfam family "Archaeal small subunit ribosomal RNA", at positions 474 to 903 of the family's 1478-position model. The record is from RNAcentral.
UACCAGCUCCCUGAGUGGUAAGGACGAUUAUUUGGCCUAAAGCGUCCGUAGCCGGCUUAUCAAGUCUCUUGUUAAACCCAAUGAUUCAAUCAUUGAUCUGCAAGAGAUACUGUUAUGCUAGAGGACGGGAGAGGUCGACGGUAGUCCAGGGGUAGGGGUGAAAUCCUAUAAUCCUUGGAGGACCACCAGUGGCGAAGGCGGUCGACUAGAACGUGCCUGACGGUGAGGGACGAAAGCUGGGGGGAGCGAACCGGAUUAGAUACCCGGGUAGUCCCAGCUGUAAACGAUGCGGGCUAGGUGUUGGGGUAGCUACGAGCUACUCCAGUGCCGCAGAGAAGUUGUUAAGCCCGCCGCCUGGGGGAGUACGGCCGCAGGGGCUGAAACUUAAAGGAUUGGCGGGGGAGCACCGACGAAGGGGUGAAGGCUGGCGGUUU